GAUCAUGGCUCAGGAUGAACGCUAGCGACAGGCUUAACACAUGCAAGUCGAGGGCAGCAUAAAAGUAGCAAUACUUGGUGGCGACCGGCGCACGGGUGAGUAACGCGUAUGCAACCUACCUAUCAGAGGGGAAUAACCCGGCGAAAGUCGGACUAAUACCGCAUAAAACAGGGGCACCGCAUGGUGAUAUUUGUUAAAGAAAUUCGCUGAUAGAUGGGCAUGCGUUCCAUUAGGUAGUUGGUGAGGUAACGGCUCACCAAGCCGACGAUGGAUAGGGGAACUGAGAGGUUGGUCCCCCACACUGGUACUGAGACACGGACCAGACUCCUACGGGAGGCAGCAGUGAGGAAUAUUGGUCAAUGGGCGAGAGCCUGAACCAGCCAAGUCGCCGUGAAGGAAGAAGGAUCUAUGGUUCGUAAACUUCUUUUGCAGGGGAAUAAAGUGCAGGACGUGUCCUGUUUUGUAUGUACCCUGAGAAUAAGGAUCGGCUAACUCCGUGCCAGCCGCCGC
This 510-nucleotide ribosomal RNA is filed under the name uncultured bacterium. Its description in RNAcentral is "bacterial SSU rRNA". It matches the Rfam family "Bacterial small subunit ribosomal RNA", at positions 15 to 518 of the family's 1533-position model. The record is from RNAcentral.